This 731-nucleotide ribosomal RNA is filed under the name uncultured bacterium. RNAcentral describes it as "bacterial SSU rRNA". It matches the Rfam family "Bacterial small subunit ribosomal RNA", at positions 771 to 1501 of the family's 1533-position model. The record is from RNAcentral.
AACAGGAUUAGAUACCCUGGUAGUCCACGCCGUAAACGGUGGGUACUAGGUGUGGGGGUCAUUCUACGACUUCCGUGCCGCAGCUAACGCAUUAAGUACCCCGCCUGGGGAGUACGGCCGCAAGGCUAAAACUCAAAGGAAUUGACGGGGCCCCGCACAAGCGGCGGAGCAUGCGGAUUAAUUCGAUGCAACGCGAAGAACCUUACCUGGGUUUGACAUAUACCGGAAACACCUAGAGAUAGGUGCCCCUUACGGUCGGUAUACAGGUGGUGCAUGGCUGUCGUCAGCUCGUGUCGUGAGAUGUUGGGUUAAGUCCCGCAACGAGCGCAACCCUCGUCCUAUGUUGCCAGCGGAUAAUGCCGGGGACUCAUAGGAGACCGCCGGGGUCAACUCGGAGGAAGGUGGGGAUGAGAUCAAGUCAUCAUGCCCCUUAUGUCCAGGGCUUCACGCAUGCUACAAUGGCCGGUACAAUGAGCAGCGAACCUGCAAGGGUAAGCGAAUCUCAAAAAGCCGGUCUCAGUUCGGAUUGGGGUCUGCAACUCGACCCCAUGAAGUCGGAGUCGCUAGUAAUCGCAGAUCAGCAACGCUGCGGUGAAUACGUUCCCGGGGCUUGUACACACCGCCCGUCAAGUCAUGAAAGUCGGUAACACCCGAAGCCGGUGGCCUAACCCUUGGGAGGGAGCCGUCGAAGGUGGGACCGGUAAUUAGGACUAAGUCGUAACAAGGUAACC